Long non-coding RNA from Psammomys obesus (fat sand rat), 201 nucleotides. RefSeq lists it as uncharacterized. The record is from RefSeq and is a predicted model, not a curated record. Lineage: Eukaryota; Metazoa; Chordata; Mammalia; Rodentia; Muridae. The transcript has 3 exons.
CUUCACCACCCGCGGCGCUAGCCAACGCUAAUCCAGCCAAGGGUCUCUGACUGAACUUGGAGCCCACUGAGUUGGCUUCCCAGGCAGGAAUGUUCCCAACGUUGCCUCCCAGUGAGGGGAUCACAUGUAUGUCACAGCUGACACACAUGCUUUUGAGGCUGACAGUGAAAUUGCAUCAAGGGGUGGAAUCUUAGCGGAAAG